UACGUAGGGGGCAAGCGUUAUCCGGAUUUACUGGGUGUAAAGGGAGCGUAGACAGCAUGGCAAGCCAGAUGUGAAAUACCGGGGCUCAACCCCGGGACUGCAUUUGGAACUGUUAAGCUGGAGUGUCGGAGAGGCAGGCGGAAUUCCUAGUGUAGCGGUGAAAUGCGUAGAUAUUAGGAGGAACACCAGUGGCGAAGGCGGCCUGCUGGACGAUAACUGACGUUGAGGCUCGAAAGCGUGGGGAGCAAACAGG
This 253-nucleotide ribosomal RNA is filed under the name uncultured bacterium. RNAcentral's name for it is "partial 16S ribosomal RNA". It matches the Rfam family "Bacterial small subunit ribosomal RNA", at positions 524 to 776 of the family's 1533-position model. The record is from RNAcentral.